Rhincodon typus (whale shark) is the source of this 3226-nucleotide long non-coding RNA. RefSeq lists it as uncharacterized. The transcript has 3 exons. NCBI's taxonomy places the organism in Eukaryota, Metazoa, Chordata, Chondrichthyes, Orectolobiformes, Rhincodontidae. The record is from RefSeq and is a predicted model, not a curated record.
UUAGAGGACUGGCAGCUCAGCAGUGCCACUGUUAAAGGUACACAUUGCUGAGGCUUUUGUAUGAAGAAAAGGAAGGUAGCUCCAAAGACUAAGUAAGUUGUUUGCUUCAAAAACAGCAAGUCUGGCAGCAUCUGUGAGGGUGAUGAUGAUCAUUGGUAGAUGAUUAUUUGCAAAGUUCCGCAUGUAGAAUACAUCGGAUGGAAAGUUAUAGAACAACGUUCACUUUGGUGGGAAAUCUGGGAGAAUCAUGUGAUACAUCCAAUGAGGCCUUUCUCAACGUUGAGAGCAACUCACUGUAUUUUCCAACAAAGUUCUGUGUGUCAAGCUUGCUGCAAGAAAUUCCCAACAUGAAAGUAGAGCAGAGGCUUGAAGACUCCAGUUCGCCACUUGAUCCUCCGGAUCUCUAUCUUGGACAUCCAGCACAAACAUCUCAGGACAUGCUUCAUGGACAGUGACUGAAUGCAUCCAACAUCCGUGAACCUUUGGCAUCAGACUCUUGCUGGCUUCUCUGCAUCAUCAUGUUCCAUCUCUGAUCCACUUAUAUUAUGUUUCUACACUUUAAAGCUGCACCUCAGAGCGCAUCAGCAACCAUCAUUGCAAUGCUGCUGCAAGGGCACAUUGCACACAGGGAUGGGAACCCAGUUCAAGGAUUAAACCUGGCUACAUUUCAGAGAUCUUCACUAGUUCUCUUUGUAAUCAUUCACCUUGAGCUCACCUGGAUGCUCAGCAUUCCUGCCUUCUGUUGUCUUACCAGUCUCGCAGUACUUCUGCCUAGCCUUGCUGUUUAACGCUAACACAUUCAGGAAGCUUGUCAUGAUUUACAGCAGUCCUCAGUAAAGUUAAGGGAAGCAGCUUUCAGACAUGGGGUCCCUGCAGAAUAAGUCAAAGGCACCCUCCGAGACCAGUUCAGGGUCUUGGACACAGUUAAUAAGUCAUGUGGCAUGGUCAGGGUCAGGCUUCUAUCCUUGCAAGGGGUGAGGAGCAGAAUGUCAAACAGCCCACCAGUGGUCUUAACUCUUUAUGCCUAUUGUGGGCUGUUUUCUUCUGGAAUGAGAGAAAGAGAGAGAACAAGUGAAAUAAAAAUGGGUGUUGGUGUAAAUGGUGUCCUGAGUGAGUGAGUGGGCAGUACAGAAGCCAUUCAGUGUUAGUGGUAUCAGGGAUUGAGAUGGGCAAAGAUGAGAAAAGGAAGAUGUUGUAUGCCCUAGUGAGAGUGGUAUGAGCAUAGCUGCCUUCCCAGCAGUUGACCUGGUUUUGAUUCCCGGCCAUUGGAAGCUGUUGCUUUGAUGGCAUGGUGGCUUAGUGGUUAGCACUGCUGCCUCACAGUGCAAGGGACCCAGGUUUGAUUCCACCCUUGGGCGACUGUGUCUACGUGGGUUUCCUCCCACAGUCCAUAGAUGUGCAGGUUAGGUGGAUUGGCCAUGCUAAAUUACCCAUGGUGUCCAGGGAUGUGUAAGCUAUGUAGGCUAGCUCAUAGUAAAAUGCAAGAUUAUAGGGAUAGGGUGGGGGUCUGGGCUCUUUGGAGUGUCAGUGUGGACUCAAUGAGCCAAAUACCCUCUUUCUGCAUUGUAGGGAUUCUAUAAUUCUUGGGUGGCACAGUGGCUCAGUGGUUAGCACUGCUGCCUCACGGCACCAGUUCAAUUCCAGCCUUGGGUGACUGUCUGUGUGCAGUUUGUACAUUCUUCCUAUGUCUGCAUGGGUGUACUCCAGUUUCCUCACACAGUCCAAAGAUGUGCAGGUUAGGUGGAUUGACCAUGCUAAAUUGUCCACAGAGUGCAGGGAUGUGUAGCUUAGGUGGAUUAGCCAUGGGAAAUGCAGUGUCACAGGAAUCGGGUGGAGGCAGGGUGCGGUUUGGGUGUCUGGAUGGGAUGGUCUUUGGAGAGCUGUUAUUGAUUUGUUGAGCCAAAUGGCCUGUUUCCGCACUGUAGGUAUUCUAUGGAUAAAGAAGCAUGAACCUUGAUCGGAGGUGGGUGUAGUAGCAGAGACAGAGUGAGUAUGAGGUCUCAGAGAAAAGGUGGUGGUGCUUAUGCUGGUGGAGCAGACAAGUUUAUUCACCUUCCUGCAUUAUUGGGCAUUCCUCCAGAUGGCUUGGUUGGCACUGACCAAGGUGGUAAUCAAACUCCAGGCUGGAAGGUUCUGGUAUCAUGGCCUCCACUGUCAGUCCUGGGGGAACAGGACAUCCCUCCUUUGCACUACCCAUGUCCACAAAGCAAGAUCUCUGCCAUGACUGGCCAAGUAAUAGGAACCAUGCAUAACAGCUCCGAAAUGAAAGUGUUUGUACAGGUGCAGAAUGGCUUUUUAUAGAUGGAGCUGGUGCCAUGGAUGCUGGUCCAUUCUGGGAUAUCCCAACAGUGGCAAGUCGUUCUGGCUUUGCCACCUGGUAGAAUCAGGCUAGCAUUGGCCAUGAAGAGAUCCAUAGAAGCAGGCAAGGUAGUUAAUGAGGCAAAUUUGGGACAGAUGACAAAAGAUCUUGCUAGGCCUUGUGGAGCAAAAGCUAUGCCAUUAAACUCAACAAAAUUUACACUUCUGCAAAUUAUGAAAAGAUUCAGCCCAUUGUUUUCACAGUACUUUCCCACACAGAUGUUAGAAGUUUCAAUAUGGGAGCAAUCAAAUUGUCCCAACAAGUCAAUGUCAGCAUUUGGAAUGCAGCUGAAACAGAGUGCAAACCUGAGAGUAUGCUAUGUAACAGAGUGAAUCUUAAAGGUAAAUUUCUUUUAUAAAAGUUAGUAUUAUUGACUUGCAAUUAGCAUGUAACUAAAAUUUGCUGCAUUAAGUUUGAACUUCCUUCCAGGCUUAGGCAGGGCUAUACAAGCUCUGUGCUGGUGAACAGACAACAUUAACUAGUUAAGUAACUGGUCUAAUCCAGUUCUGUAACUGCAAGAGAGCUCACUCAUCUAGCUCGCAGUAGCAUUUAUAAGGGAUGUUACAGUCCAACUGUAAAGAGAUGAAUCAGGUGUCUGUCCGCUCAUCAGUCGGUUCUAACUACCAAGUCAGUCAGUCAGGUGGGCCAUAGUCAUCCCGAACAAUGACAAGAAGUUAUCCUACUCUGAACAUUAGGGAAAGAGUAGCAAUCUCUGCAACAGGGUGCUAAGGACAGAUGGCCUGUGUAACUUGGUUCUUGUAGGUACAGUUACAACAUCAGUCUGUAAGACAGAUGACGAUGUAAAAAUAGAAAUAUGUUUACAAAUGUGAAUCUCUAUUUGUAAUAAAGUAUUAACUGGGCCAUCAA